UGAACAUUGCCACUAUGGUCACGCCUGACGAAGCUCCAGCGACACCGAGGUUGAAUCGGACACAAUUCCAACGUACACUGCCGCUGGCCCACAACCCCGAGGAAAUUGUAUGGACCGAUGGCUCGGUAUCCAAGACAACGACUGAAAACGGUAGAGAACUACAAGUGGCUGGGGCUUGUGCUUGGCAUAAAGACCGUGUUGUCUACGUAAACCCAAAUGGAUUUGGCUGCACUAACACUAUUACACGCGCCGAGCUCGCUGCAAUUCGUGCAGCCCUGGAAGAAUUCGGAGGUGAAACUAGUAUGUUCGCGAAGAAAACGCUAACCAUUGCCAGUGACUCAGCUGCAAGCUUG
RNAcentral lists this long non-coding RNA (353 nucleotides) under Chlamydomonas reinhardtii. Its description in RNAcentral is "long non-coding RNA (CREI_LNC000009)". The record is from RNAcentral. Lineage: Eukaryota; Viridiplantae; Chlorophyta; Chlorophyceae; Chlamydomonadales; Chlamydomonadaceae.